CCAGGAAAUAUCUUAGGAAGACAAGAAGUGAUCAUCAGUUGGAUCAUCCAGAUAAAUCAUCAGAUUCCGAUCUAUCACCCAGUGUCUCAACGCCGGAAAAGCAUGGAAUUGUGGGCGAAUCAAGCAAGCAUUUAAGACUUCCCUCUGACACGAGCUGCACAGAGAUCCUGCAUUCACCAUCCUCUGGCAUGAACCUGAAGAUGCAGAACAGUUUAAUAAUGAGUCCGAUUCCCAUCUUGCCCAGGCUAUCAAUGCAUCUCUUGAAGACUUUGAAGUACAGUUUGGGCCUGUUUCAAGUCAAGAUGGAGAUAGUCUUGACUCCACCCUACCCUGGAACCCAGAUAACAUCAACACACAUCAGCAUUAAAACACUAAAUGAAGGACCUGUAUCAUCAAACACUAACCCAGCCUCCCCAACUCAGUCUGUCAAGGAUCCGCUGUGUUACAGUCAGACGAAUCAGUGUAGUUCACCAUGUCAUUGAUAUCUUCAUGGAACCAGAAGUGCUGAAUGUUGAGUUAAAGAUGGAGUUAAAAAAUGAAAAAGCUCUUGAUAGUGAUGGUGUGUCAAGAGAAGUGCACUCUGCUUUCUGGGAACAUUUCCUAGAACAGUGUGAGGGGGAGGAUGAACGGGUUCCCAGACUACGACCAGACUUAACGGAGCAGCAGUGGCAAGCUGUUGGAAGAGUUUGGUUAAAAGGGUAUUUAGACCACAACAUCAUACCAAUCCGACUGUCACCAGCUUUUGUUAAGGAGUCAGUUCAGUCGAUGAGGAACUUUUAAUGAUGUCAUUUAGCAGAUUUAUAUCAGGACCUGAGCAGGUGGCCGUUGAGAAAGCUCUGCAAGGCAACAUGGAUGAACCUGCUGAAGAAGACUUACUUGAGCUCUUUUCAAGAAUGGGGUCACACUGCCUGCCCUCAAAAGACAGUUUACAGGCUUCCCUUUUAACAAUGGCACAUAAAGUUCUUCUCCAAGAGCCAAAGUUUGUAAUAGACUGUUUUCACUCCACUAUUCACAAUGCUGUGCCAUCACUCACCAACAAAGAUAGUAUAAUGACACUUUAUGACUCAAAGAGGCCAACUAACAAAAACGUGGCCCAAAUGAUAAAGCCAACAAGUGAAAGCCUGAAUCCACAAGAGCAGUCAGCCCUUAACCACCUGCUGAGGUAUGUGAGAAGCACUGACAGAAGAAAACUAGAGAGAUUCUUACGCUUCUGCACAGGGUCCACAGUACUCUGCAAAGACAAAAUUGAAGUAACCUU
Molecule: long non-coding RNA, 1258 nt
Organism: Melanotaenia boesemani (Boeseman's rainbowfish)
Lineage: Eukaryota; Metazoa; Chordata; Actinopteri; Atheriniformes; Melanotaeniidae
Exons: 3
Source: RefSeq, a predicted model, not a curated record